This 355-nucleotide unclassified non-coding RNA is filed under the name soil metagenome. RNAcentral describes it as "partial contains 5.8S ribosomal RNA, internal transcribed spacer 2, and large subunit ribosomal RNA". The stretch from base 1 to 120 matches the Rfam family "5.8S ribosomal RNA", at positions 35 to 154 of the family's 154-position model. The record is from RNAcentral.
GAUGAAGAACGUAGCGAAAUGCGAUAAGUAAUGUGAAUUGCAGAAUUCAGUGAAUCAUCGAAUCUUUGAACGCACAUUGCGCCCAUUAGUAUUCUAGUGGUCAUGCCUGUUCGAGCGUCAUUAAGUCCACUUAAGCCCUGCUUAGUGUUGGGAGACUGCUCCAGCGGUGCUACCCUGUAGCUACCCUGCAGCUCCUCAAAGACAGCGGCGGAGUUGUGGUAUCCUCUGAGCUUAGUAACUUGUUCUAGCUUUCGAGUACACCACUUCCCCUGCCGUAAAACCCUUAAUUUUUAAUGGUUGACCUCGGAUCAGGUAGGAAUACCCGCUGAACUUAAGCAUAUCAAUAAGCGGAGGA